RNAcentral lists this ribosomal RNA (1607 nucleotides) under Heterodera glycines (soybean cyst nematode). Its description in RNAcentral is "eukaryotic LSU rRNA". It matches the Rfam family "Eukaryotic large subunit ribosomal RNA", at positions 1358 to 2889 of the family's 3401-position model. RNAcentral also lists the same sequence under 1 other name. Lineage: Eukaryota; Metazoa; Nematoda; Chromadorea; Rhabditida; Heteroderidae. The record is from RNAcentral.
UCGCGUAGUCUGGCCAUGACGUGUAGGAGGGUCGUCCCCCCUGCGUUGAAGGCUUUGGGCGUGGGCCCGGCCGGAGCUUCCACCAGUGCAGAUCUUGGUGGUAGUAGCAAAUAUUCAAGUGAGAUCCUUGAAGACUGAAGUGGAGAAGGGUUCCACGUGAACAGCAGUUGAAUGUGGGUCAGCCGAUCCUAAGGCACCGGCUAACGCCGUAACACACUACGGAUGACGACUUUUCUGUGCUUGCGCAGUUGGUCCAUCCGGUUGCCGAAAGGGAAGUGGGUUAACAUUCCCACGCCAGGCUAGGGAAAUGACGGUUCGCAAGAGCUGUUUUGCGCGGUAACGCAAAUGAACUCGCAGACGUCGUGUGGAGUCCGAGCCAGAGUUCUCUUUUCUGGUUUAGGGUGUGCGUGCCUGGAAGUGGCUCAGCCUGAGAUAGGGAUGUUGCGCCCGUAAAGCACCACGGUUCCUGUGGUGUCUCGUGCGCUCCACACGGCCCUUGAAAAUGCGAGGGAAGCUAUUUGAAUCUCCUGCCUGAUCGUACCGAUAUCCGCAGCAGGUCUCCAAGGUGAACAGCCUCUAGUCGAUAGAAUAAUGUAGGUAAGGGAAGUCGGCAAAUUAGAUUCGUAACUUCGGGAAAAGAAUUGGCUCUAAAGGUCGGGUCAGCCGGGCUGUUGCGUGAAACAGGCGGCUUUUGCCCGUGGCUGUGUGCUGUUCUUUCGGGGAUGGUGCGUGGACUAGUGGUGAGAGCUGCUUGUGGAGCGCUUCAGCUGCGUGUAUGCUCGUCAGGGUAUGCACUUCGGUUGGCGCUGAACGACCAGUNUAGAACUGGCACGACUUCGGGGAAUCCGACUGUCUAAUAAAACAGAGGAGACGGAUGGUCCUUGUGGACGUUGACCGUGUCUGAUUUCUGCCCAGUGCUCUGAAUGUUAAGCCAAGGAAACUUGAUUAAGCGCGGGUAAACGGCGGGAGUAACUAUGACUCUCUUAAGGUAGCCAAAUGCCUCGUCGGCUAACUACCGACGCGCACGAAUGGAUCAACGAGAUUCCCACUGUCCCUAUCUACUAUCUAGCGAAACCACAGCCAAGGGAACGGGCUUGGCAAAUUUAGCGGGGAAAGAAGACCCUGUUGAGCUUGACUCUAGUCUGACUUUGUGAAGAAUCAUGAGAGGUGUAGCAUAAGUGGGAGCCGCAAGGCGCCAGUGAAAUACCACUACUUUCAUCGAUUCCUUACUUAAUCGGUAAAACGGGAGUGCGCCCGAAAGGGUGUCCAUUUUGGUGUUAAGUCGGGCCACCCGGUGGCCCGGCGACCCGCGCCGAUGACAGUGUCAGGCGGGGAGUUUGACUGGGGCGGUACAUCUGUCAAAGCGUAACGCAGGUGUCCUAAGGCAAGCUCAGAGAGGACGGAAACCUCUCGUAGAGCAAAAAGGCAAAUGCUUACUUGAUCCUGAUUUUCAGUACGAAUACGGACCGCGAAAGCGUGGCUUAUCGAUCCUUUUGAAUGUGUAAAGUUUCCAGCAAGAGGUGUCAGAAAAGUUACCACAGGGAUAACUGGCUUGUGGCGGCCAAGCGACGAUAGCGACGUCGCUUUUUGAUCCUUCGAUGUCGGCU